Molecule: long non-coding RNA, 455 nt
Organism: Lemur catta (Ring-tailed lemur)
Lineage: Eukaryota; Metazoa; Chordata; Mammalia; Primates; Lemuridae
Exons: 4
Source: RefSeq, a predicted model, not a curated record
GGCCUCGGUACUUCAUUGCUUCCCCUGUCCUGCCCUCAUGUGUAACUCCGGCGGGCGUUGAAAGGAAGACCUGUGGCUGAGUGUUUCAUUUUAGGCUCUAUGACUCAGAAGCAGGGCGCAAUAAGGGGUCGUGGUGCAGCACCCAUCCGAGCUCUGUGGCAUUUGAGUUUGCAUCCUGUGAUAUAAUGUGGGGACACAGGAAGGUACCCUUCUAAAUAAUGCCUUGGCCAAGAUAGGUCACUGCUCAAUGCUUCUUUGCAUGCCUGGCUCAGGAGACAGCUACUUUAAAAAGCCAUAAAGCAGAAAGGAACUUUGCAUGAUCAUGGAACUGAAAGAAUGCCAGUAACCUGGAGUGCAGGAGGCAACUAGAGGUGGUAUGAGAUGAAGUCCCCAAGGUCGGCAGGGGAUCAGAUCAGGAAGGGUUUUAAAUCAAGGGUCUCUCUUGUACUCAGGCU